UAGGAGCUUGCUCCUUUGACGUUAGCGGCGGACGGGUGAGUAACACGUGGAUAACCUACCUAUAAGACUGGGAUAACUUCGGGAAACCGGAGCUAAUACCGGAUAAGAUUUUGAACCGCAUGGUUCAAUAGUGAAAGACGGCCUUGCUGUCACUUAUAGAUGGAUCCGCGCCGUAUUAGCUAGUUGGUAAGGUAACGGCUUACCAAGGCAACGAUACGUAGCCGACCUGAGAGGGUGAUCGGCCACACUGGAACUGAGACACGGUCCAGACUCCUACGGGAGGCAGCAGUAGGGAAUCUUCCGCAAUGGGCGAAAGCCUGACGGAGCAACGCCGCGUGAGUGAUGAAGGUCUUCGGAUCGUAAAACUCUGUUAUCAGGGAAGAACAAACGUGUAAGUAACUGUGCACGUCUUGACGGUACCUGAUCAGAAAGCCACGGCUAACUACGUGCCAGCAGCCGCGGUAAUACGUAGGUGGCAAGCGUUAUCCGGAAUUAUUGGGCGUAAAGCGCGCGUAGGCGGUUUUUUAAGUCUGAUGUGAAAGCCCACGGCUCAACCGUGGAGGGUCAUUGGAAACUGGAAAACUUGAGUGCAGAAGAGGAAAGUGGAACUCCAUGUGGUAAGCGGU
This 626-nucleotide ribosomal RNA is filed under the name Staphylococcus pasteuri. RNAcentral's name for it is "bacterial SSU rRNA". It matches the Rfam family "Bacterial small subunit ribosomal RNA", at positions 73 to 682 of the family's 1533-position model. The record is from RNAcentral. Lineage: Bacteria; Bacillati; Bacillota; Bacilli; Caryophanales; Staphylococcaceae.